GAUGAACGCUGGCGGCGUGCCUAAUACAUGCAAGUCGAGCGAACGGACGAGAAGCUUGCUUCUCUGAUGUUAGCGGCGGACGGGUGAGUAACACGUGGAUAACCUACCUAUAAGACUGGGAUAACUUCGGGAAACCGUAGCUAAUACCGGAUAAUAUUUUGAACCGCAUGGUUCAAAAGUGAAGGACGGUCUUGCUGUCACUUAUAGAUGGAUCCGCGCUGCAUUAGCUAGUUGGUAAGGUAACGGCUUACCAAGGCAACGAUGCAUAGCCGACCUGAGAGGGUGAUCGGCCAUACUGGAACUGAGACACGGUCCAGACUCCUACGGGAGGCAGCAGUAGGGAAUCUUCCGCAAUGGGCGAAAGCCUGACGGAGCAACGCCGCGUGAGUGAUGAAGGUCUUCGGAUCGUAAAACUCUGUUAUUAGGGAAGAACAUAUGUGUAAGUAACUGUGCACAUCUUGACGGUACCUAAUCAGAAAGCCACGGCUAACUACGUG
RNAcentral lists this ribosomal RNA (497 nucleotides) under uncultured bacterium. RNAcentral's name for it is "partial 16S ribosomal RNA". It matches the Rfam family "Bacterial small subunit ribosomal RNA", at positions 28 to 507 of the family's 1533-position model. The record is from RNAcentral.